AUUGAACGCUGGCGGCAGGCCUAACACAUGCAAGUCGAACGAGUGGCGGACGGGUGAGUUAUGUCUGGGAAACUGCCUGAUGGAGGGGGAAAAACUCUAGACACUGUAGCUAAUACCGCAUCCCACGAGUUGCGCCCAUGUUGGAUUAGCUUGUUGGUGGGGUAACGGCUCACAAAGGCGACGAUCCCUAGCUGGUCUGAGAGGAUGACCAGACACACGGGAACUGAGACACGGUCCAGACGCCUACGGGAGGCAGCAGUGGGGAAUAUUGCACAAUGGGCGCAAGCCUGAUGCAGCCAUGCCGCGUGUGUGAAGAAGGCCUUCGGGUUGUAAAGUACUUUCAGCGGGGAGGCGUUACCCGCAGAAGAAGCACCGGCUAACUCCGUGCCAGCAGCCGCGGUAAUAC
RNAcentral lists this ribosomal RNA (406 nucleotides) under uncultured bacterium. RNAcentral describes it as "partial 16S ribosomal RNA". It matches the Rfam family "Bacterial small subunit ribosomal RNA", at positions 30 to 526 of the family's 1533-position model. The record is from RNAcentral.